CAGCGCCACGGGAAUACGAAGGGUGCAAGCGUUACUCGGAAUUACUGGGCGUAAAGCGUGCGUAGGUGGUGGUUUAAGUCCGUUGUGAAAGCCCUGGGCUCAACCUGGGAAUUGCAGUGGAUACUGGGUCACUAGAGUGUGGUAGAGGAUAGUGGAAUUUCCGGUGUAGCAGUGAAAUGCGUAGAGAUCGGAAGGAACAUCUGUGGCGAAGGCGACUAUCUGGGCCAACACUGACACUGAGGCACGAAAGCGUGGGGAGCAAACAGGAUUAGAUACCCCCGUAGUCCCUGUCUCUUAUACA
RNAcentral lists this ribosomal RNA (301 nucleotides) under uncultured bacterium. Its description in RNAcentral is "partial 16S ribosomal RNA". It matches the Rfam family "Bacterial small subunit ribosomal RNA", at positions 509 to 808 of the family's 1533-position model. The record is from RNAcentral.